This 253-nucleotide ribosomal RNA is filed under the name uncultured bacterium. RNAcentral describes it as "partial 16S ribosomal RNA". It matches the Rfam family "Bacterial small subunit ribosomal RNA", at positions 524 to 776 of the family's 1533-position model. The record is from RNAcentral.
UACAGAGGGGGCAAGCGUUGUUCGGAAUUACUGGGCGUAAAGCGCGCGUAGGCGGAUCUGCAAGUCGGGGGUGAAAUCCCGAGGCUCAACCUCGGAACUGCCUUCGAUACUGCGGGUCUCGAGUCCGGGAGAGGUGAGUGGAAUUCCUAGUGUAGAGGUGAAAUUCGUAGAUAUUAGGAAGAACACCAGUGGCGAAGGCGGCUCACUGGCCCGGUACUGACGCUGAGGCGCGAAAGCGUGGGGAGCAAACAGG